CUUUCUUUGCUGGCGACCGGCGCGCGGGUGAGUAACACGUAUCCAACCUGCCCUUUACUCGGGGAUAGCCUUUCGAAAGAAAGAUUAAUACCCGAUAGUAUAAUGAUUCCGCAUGGUUUCAUUAUUAAAGGAUUCCGGUAAAGGAUGGGGAUGCGUUCCAUUAGGUUGUUGGUGAGGUAACGGCUCACCAAGCCUUCGAUGGAUAGGGGUUCUGAGAGGAAGGUCCCCCACAUUGGAACUGAGACACGGUCCAA
RNAcentral lists this ribosomal RNA (254 nucleotides) under uncultured bacterium. Its description in RNAcentral is "partial 16S ribosomal RNA". It matches the Rfam family "Bacterial small subunit ribosomal RNA", at positions 79 to 334 of the family's 1533-position model. The record is from RNAcentral.